CUGGAGAGUGGCGCACGGGUGAGUAACGCGUGGGGACCUACCUCUUAGUGGGGGAUAACGGUUGGAAACGACCGCUAAUACCGCAUACGCCCUUCGGGGGAAAGAUUUAUCGCUAAGAGAUGGACCCGCGUUGGAUUAGAUAGUUGGUGAGGUAACGGCUCACCAAGUCAGCGAUCCAUAGCUGGUUUGAGAGGAUGAUCAGCCACACUGGGACUGAGACACGGCCCAGACUCCUACGGGAGGCAGCAGUGGGGAAUAUUGGACAAUGGGGGCAACCCUGAUCCAGCCAUGCCGCGUGAGUGAAGAAGGCCUUCGGGUUGUAAAGCUCUUUCAGAUGCGAAGAUGAUGACGGUAACAUCAGAAGAAGCCCCGGCUAAUUUCGUGCCAGCAGCCGCGGUAAUACGAAAGGGGCUAGCGUUGUUCGGAUUUACUGGGCGUAAAGGGCACGCAGGCGGUCUUGCCAGUCAGGGGUGAAAGCCCGGGGCUCAACCCCGGAACUGCCUCUGAUACUGCAAGACUAGAGACUAGGAGAGGGUGGUGGAAUUCCCAGUGUAGAGGUGAAAUUCGUAGAUAUUGGGAGGAACACCAGAGGCGAAGGCGGCCACCUGGACUAGAUCUGACG
RNAcentral lists this ribosomal RNA (622 nucleotides) under Thalassospira povalilytica. RNAcentral describes it as "bacterial SSU rRNA". It matches the Rfam family "Bacterial small subunit ribosomal RNA", at positions 88 to 745 of the family's 1533-position model. Lineage: Bacteria; Pseudomonadati; Pseudomonadota; Alphaproteobacteria; Rhodospirillales; Thalassospiraceae. The record is from RNAcentral.